RNAcentral lists this ribosomal RNA (257 nucleotides) under uncultured prokaryote. RNAcentral's name for it is "partial 16S ribosomal RNA". It matches the Rfam family "Bacterial small subunit ribosomal RNA", at positions 524 to 780 of the family's 1533-position model. The record is from RNAcentral.
UACGGAGGAUGCGAGCGUUAUCCGGAUUUAUUGGGUUUAAAGGGUGCGUAGGCGGAUUGAUAAGUCAGUGGUGAAAUUCUACAGCUUAACUGUAGACUUGCCGUUGAUACUGUUAGUCUUGAGUGUGGUCAAGGCAGGCGGAAUGUGUAAUGUAGCGGUGAAAUGCUUAGAUAUUACACAGAACACCGAUUGCGAAGGCAGCUUACUAAUCCAUCAUUGACGCUGAGGCACGAAAGCGUGGGGAUCAAACAGGAUUA